This 486-nucleotide ribosomal RNA is filed under the name Shigella sonnei. Its description in RNAcentral is "partial 23S ribosomal RNA". It matches the Rfam family "Bacterial large subunit ribosomal RNA", at positions 432 to 920 of the family's 2925-position model. Lineage: Bacteria; Pseudomonadati; Pseudomonadota; Gammaproteobacteria; Enterobacterales; Enterobacteriaceae. The record is from RNAcentral.
UCCUGUCUGAAUAUGGGGGGCCCAUCCUCCAAGGCUAAAUACUCCUGACUGACCGAUAGUGAACCAGUACCGUGAGGGAAAGGCGAAAAGAACCCCGGCGAGGGGAGUGAAAAAGAACCUGAAACCGUGUACGUACAAGCAGUGGGAGCACGCUUAGGCGUGUGACUGCGUACCUUUUGUAUAAUGGGUCAGCGACUUAUAUUCUGUAGCAAGGUUAACCGAAUAGGGGAGCCGAAGGGAAACCGAGUCUUAACUGGGCGUUAAGUUGCAGGGUAUAGACCCGAAACCCGGUGAUCUAGCCAUGGGCAGGUUGAAGGUUGGGUAACACUAACUGGAGGACCGAACCGACUAAUGUUGAAAAAUUAGCGGAUGACUUGUGGCUGGGGGUGAAAGGCCAAUCAAACCGGGAGAUAGCUGGUUCUCCCCGAAAGCUAUUUAGGUAGCGCCUCGUGAAUUCAUCUCCGGGGGUAGAGCACUGUUUCGGCA